CCCUUAGAUGUUCUGGGCCGCACGCGCGCUACACUGAUGCAUUCAACGAGUUUUUCCUGGUCCGAGAGGAAUGGGUAACCUUUUGAAAGUGCAUCGUGCUAGGGAUAGACUAUUGCAAUUAUUGGUCUUCAACGAGGAAUUCCUAGUAGACGUAGUUCAUCAGACUGCAUCGAUUACGUCCCUGCCCUUUGUACACACCGCCCGUCGCUCCUACCGAUUUCGAGUGGUCCGGUGAAUCUUUCGGACUGCGCGCGGCUUCGUGCCGUGUCGCGGAAAGUCAGGUAAACCUUAUCACUUAGAGGAAGGAGAAGUCGUAACA
This 319-nucleotide ribosomal RNA is filed under the name uncultured eukaryote. RNAcentral's name for it is "partial 18S ribosomal RNA". It matches the Rfam family "Eukaryotic small subunit ribosomal RNA", at positions 1470 to 1796 of the family's 1831-position model. The record is from RNAcentral.